CUAUACAUGACUCUGCGCAUAUCAAUAAGCGGAGGAAAAGAAACUAACAAGGAUUCCCUUAGUAACGGCGAGUGAAGCGGGAAGAGCUCAAAUUUGAAAUCUUCAAGGUUUUACCUUGACGAAUUGUAGUUUAAAGAAGUGUUUUCUGCUGAAGUUUUGGUAAAAGUUCUUUGGAAUAGGACAUCAUAGAGGGUGAGAAUCCCGUAUUUGACCAUUAUUUUCAGCUUUGUGAUACACUUUCAAAGAGUCGGAUUGUUUGGGAAUGCAGUCCAAAAUGGGUGGCAAAUUUCAUCUAAAGCUAAAUAUUGGCGAGAGACCGAUAGCGAACAAGUACCGUGAGGGAAAGAUGAAAAGAACUUUGAAAAGAGAGUUAAACAGUACGUGAAAUUGUUAAAAGGGAAGCGUUUGACACCAGUGUUGUUUUUCUGAAAAUCAAUUAAAGAACUGUUUAUGCUAAGUUGUUUAGACUUUAUCAGCUAACUGUUUAGUUUUGAGCUUUUCUUUAAUGCACUUUUCAGUUAACAAGUCAACAUCAAUUUCUUUUGCUGUAAAAAAGCUUGAGGAAGGUGGCUUGAGAUUCGUCCUUAAGUGUUUAUAGCCUCUUGCCUAUGCAGUCGGAGAGAUUGAGGUCUGCAGCGUAGAUCCUUCGGGGCUAAAUGCAUUUGUGCUAAGUUAUAGCAUUUUAUAGACAACUUGUUGACUAUGAUUUGUCUUGUAGCUUACUCGCUUAUGUUAUUUUACCUACGCUUAGGAUGUUGAUCUACAGAGCGAGAGU
RNAcentral lists this ribosomal RNA (775 nucleotides) under uncultured Neocallimastigales. Its description in RNAcentral is "partial large subunit ribosomal RNA". It matches the Rfam family "Eukaryotic large subunit ribosomal RNA", at positions 22 to 635 of the family's 3401-position model. The record is from RNAcentral. Lineage: Eukaryota; Fungi; Neocallimastigomycota; Neocallimastigomycetes; Neocallimastigales.